Molecule: long non-coding RNA, 984 nt
Organism: Acanthochromis polyacanthus (spiny chromis)
Lineage: Eukaryota; Metazoa; Chordata; Actinopteri; Pomacentridae
Exons: 3
Source: RefSeq, a predicted model, not a curated record
UUCGGCAUUAUUUCAUGGAGGUACUUCAAGUUGAUCAUGUUUUACAUUGUGAAGUAGCCUAAAUAUUAAGUGGCUGUUUGACUGUGCAGUUGUUUUAUCCACACAUAGCCUAAAUGUCUGCAUCCAUAUCAUGUUCUGUUAAAUAAUUAAGCCUAUUUAAACUAACACAGACUUCUGCUCAGCCAACAGAAAAAAGCAGAUGCCUGUAAAACGGGUGGUAUAAAAGAUGCAUUCAUAUAUAUAUAUAUGAUUAUUUAGUUCUCUUUUGUGUCUUUUUUAUCUUUUGGCCCCUUCACACCACAGACCUUGUAACUGUAAGUAGGCAACACUCCAAAGAUUUAUCCAAAUGGUAGUUUAAGUGUACUGAAACAUGUCACUGAUCUAGGAUGAAGAGGAUGAAACUGUGUCUGCUGCCUUUACAGAGGGGGAUCCAGAAAGGCAUACAGAGAGCAUGGCUGGACAGCAGCAGGAUGGUUCCUUAACUUCCACUGCACAGACUGAUACAGUGAGAUGAAUGUUCAGUAAACACCAGAGGUUCAUUCUGUGAAAUUCAUGUGCAACUGUAUAAUUUAAUGUACUCUGUGUAUACCCAGUUAUCAGUAAAACAGAUUUACAAACUGCAUUUGCUGAGAAAAAUCCAAAAACAGAUUAGGAGGACAGAUCUGGAAAUUGAAAUACUGGAGCACAAGUUAGAGGUGGGUGAUGGUCACAGAUGAAUUAUGUUAACUAUUGAAACAUUAACUGAACUAUCUCUUUUAUUUGUAGGAAAUAAAGAAGACCAAAUGAAAUGUGUAUCAUGUCUUUAUUUGCUGUGGUGGUGAUGAUGGUGACUUAAACUCUAAAGUGAUUCUUGCAUACGGUGUCUCUGACUGCUCUGCUGUCCUGGAUAGCUGCAGGUGGAUGGGCUCAUCAUCUGGGUCUUCAGUUUGUAGGGCAGGGUGUUGCUCUCCUCUAAUAGUGGUAAUACUAUGAAGAACAACACAU